UACGUAGGGGGCUAGCGUUGUCCGGAUUUAUUGGGCGUAAAGAGCGCGUAGGCGGCCGAGUAAGUCCGACGUGAAAUCUGGAGGCUCAACCUCCAGCGGUCGUUGGAAACUACUCGGCUAGAGUCCGGAAGAGGAGAGUGGAAUUCCUGGUGUAGCGGUGAAAUGCGCAGAUAUCAGGAAGAACACCGAUGGCGAAAGCAGCUCUCUGGGACGGUACUGACGCUGAGGCGCGAAAGCGUGGGGAGCGAACGGG
This 253-nucleotide ribosomal RNA is filed under the name uncultured bacterium. RNAcentral describes it as "partial 16S ribosomal RNA". It matches the Rfam family "Bacterial small subunit ribosomal RNA", at positions 524 to 776 of the family's 1533-position model. The record is from RNAcentral.